AUUCCUUCAGAAGUUGUAAGUAGCCGGCCUGAUACUGUUAGCUCUCUAAGGAUUUCUUCUGAUCGUCAGUUUUCAAACGAGAGCUUUGGCAGAAAGCUGAAGAUGUGGGAAACCUGGGAGCUAGUGCAGUGUGGACUUGCUGAGGACAGCCAGGAUGUAAGCAGGAAUGUUCAGUCCUUCGGGCCACUAGCACAAGAGUUUGCCUUUCAGCCAGCCAAACUUUCGGGAUCUCCUGGAGUUGCAAUGGAACCCUUGUUACUGGAUGACCCACCACAGGAUUCCCUUUGAUACGGAAGUCACUCAAGAUAAUGCCUUUGCAAUGGAAGAUGUCAACAAAGGACCAAGGCCUGCUGCAGCACAAAACUGUGGCUGUCCUGGAAGAGGGAAAGAUUGAGCCAGGAAACCUGCUUACAGAUUUGCAUACAUUCCUGUGGUGGUCCUUUUAAACAUCUGUACUACUAAGAGCUGUACCCCUCCGGGGCUGAGAAGAGAGCAGAGGUGAGAUGCGCACAGAACCGGACAGAAUGGACUGAAGGGACAGCACAGGCCGGAGAUGCUGGGGCAUAGCAUGACCAGGGCAGCAAAGGGGACCCAUUGUGUCUGGGCAUGUCUGGGUGUGUGCUUGCCUGCAGUGAAGAUCUCUGUUUCCUUUCCUACUGCUGAGAAGUCCCUGGGAAAAGCCAGGGAGCCCAGUGCUGACCCUCAGAGGCCCUCCCACCACACUCCCGCUGGACACCCACCCUCACUGGCCUGGAUAAUCCCUCCAGUUGUUGCUCCUGAUAAGUUGUGUCAAUAAAAAGGAAAGGAAAGAAAACUCGGCAAGCAGCAAAAGUGUGAACACAGCCACUGCCUGAUGCCAAGAGCUGUUGCAGCUUCGACCUGCAGAGGAAAGAGAGGCAUGGACAGCCCCGUAAUAGCUCUGAGAUUGUGUUAGUAACCCUUAUGCAAGCAUUGAUCUGUGGCUACAGCUCUAGGAUUUGAAGUCCCCAAAGGCUCUAAAAUCCAAGUAUUGUUCUGUUUAUUCAGUUUUUUUAAUGGUGGUGAAAUAUACAAUAAAGCCAUUGCCUU
RNAcentral lists this long non-coding RNA (1068 nucleotides) under Mus caroli (Ryukyu mouse). RNAcentral's name for it is "predicted gene 43597 (MGP_CAROLIEiJ_G0006270.1)". Lineage: Eukaryota; Metazoa; Chordata; Mammalia; Rodentia; Muridae. The record is from RNAcentral.